GGUGGGCGCAGUGGCACGUGCCUGUAGUCCCAGCUACUCGGCAGGCUGAGGCUGGAGGAUCGCUUGAGCCCAGGAGUUCUGGGCUGUAGUGCGCUAUGCCGAUCGGGUGUCUGCAUUAAGUUCGGCAUCAAUAUGGUGACCUCCCGGGAGCGGAGCACCACCAGGUUGCCUAAGGAGGGUUGAACCAGCCCAGUUCGGAAUCGGAGCAGGUCAAAACUCCCAUGCUGAUCAGUACUGGGAUCACGCCUGUGAAUAGCCACUGCACUCCAGCCUGGGCAACAUAGCGAGACCUCAUCUCU
Unclassified non-coding RNA from Aotus nancymaae (Ma's night monkey), 299 nucleotides. It matches the Rfam family "Metazoan signal recognition particle RNA". Rfam says of the family: The signal recognition particle (SRP) is a universally conserved ribonucleoprotein. It is involved in the co-translational targeting of proteins to membranes. The record is from Ensembl. Lineage: Eukaryota; Metazoa; Chordata; Mammalia; Primates; Aotidae.